This 436-nucleotide long non-coding RNA is filed under the name Solanum tuberosum (potato). Its description in RNAcentral is "long non-coding RNA (STUB_LNC003406)". Lineage: Eukaryota; Viridiplantae; Streptophyta; Magnoliopsida; Solanales; Solanaceae. The record is from RNAcentral.
GCUGCUCGUCAUUGUCUCGAUUCGCUGCCCGAAAAAAGGUAACGUCUUCUUUUUUAUAACAUUCUACUCGUCUCUUUUUGUAUUUUGAUGUGAUUUUUCCGAUGUCGGAAAGUCUUGCUAUGUGGUUGUCCUAUGUCUUCUGUUUAAAUAUCUUUAGUGAUGUUUUAGUUUGAAUGUCUAAGUCAGCUCGAUGAUUGUCUCUGCUACGUUAUAUUGUGUUUUCUUUUAGAUUUCUCAAGUAUUUACUGAUUACAUGUUGUUGCCACCUGCUUUCUUGUUCAAGUUUGGUUACUGUUUAGAAGGGAUUAAAUUCUCAUGUUUUGCUUAAACCUUUUUAGUCUCUUAGUCGCUAUUUUAUCUCACUCUUCCGCUUCAUCUAAAAUAAGCUAUCAUUGUUGUUAUGUUGUGGCUGUCUUCUUUUAUCAACUGGAUCUUA